GCUCGGGUGGCGAAAUGGCAGACGCGCCAGACUUAGGAUCUGGUGCCGAGAGGCGUGCGGGUUCGAGUCCCGCCCCGAGCA
Molecule: transfer RNA, 81 nt
Filed under: Roseisolibacter agri
Lineage: Bacteria; Pseudomonadati; Gemmatimonadota; Gemmatimonadia; Gemmatimonadales; Gemmatimonadaceae
Rfam family: tRNA
About the family: Transfer RNA (tRNA) molecules are approximately 80 nucleotides in length.
Source: Rfam by way of RNAcentral